Molecule: non-coding RNA, 323 nt
Organism: Providencia rettgeri DSM 1131
Lineage: Bacteria; Pseudomonadati; Pseudomonadota; Gammaproteobacteria; Enterobacterales; Morganellaceae
Source: Rfam
UUGCUAAGAUGUUUAAAAAACGAAAGUUAACGUUUUAUAGGAUUUCUUAUUUGAUGGCGUAACAGUGCAGCAAUGGCGUAAGACAUUUAGCAACAUCAAAUAAAUUAGCGAGCAACGAAUUUUGGCUUAUUGGGUUAGGAACUUCCGUUUUCUUUAAUAACUUACGGCAUCCUGAUUAAGAACGCUGAAUUUUUAAUCUAAAAAUCAGGUUCACCGAAUACUGCGCGUCUCUAUACGAACGACUGCCGCGAGGCAGACGGUUUUGUAAAAAUCACGAGGCCAUCGGUUUACAGUAGCUCUUUCUUUCGCUGCUCUUUAUUUAA